GACGGAGGAUGCAAGUGUUAUCCGGAAUCACUGGGCGUAAAGCGUCUGUAGGUGGUUUAGUAAGUCAACUGUUAAAUCUUGAAGCUCAACUUCAAAAUCGCAGUCGAAACUAUUAGACUAGAGUAUAGUAGGGGUAAAGGGAAUUUCCAGUGGAGCGGUGAAAUGCGUAGAGAUUGGAAAGAACACCGAUGGCGAAGGCACUUUACUGGGCUAUUACUGACACUCAGAGACGAAAGCUAGGGUAGCAAACAGG
This 253-nucleotide ribosomal RNA is filed under the name uncultured bacterium. RNAcentral describes it as "partial 16S ribosomal RNA". It matches the Rfam family "Bacterial small subunit ribosomal RNA", at positions 524 to 776 of the family's 1533-position model. The record is from RNAcentral.